GACGAACGCUGGCGGCGUGCUUAACACAUGCAAGUCGAACGGAAAGGCACUGCUUUUGUGGGGUGAUCGAGUGGCGAACGGGUGCGUAACACGUGAGUAACCUGCUCUUGACUUUGGGAUAACUUCAGGAAACUGGGGCUAAUACCGGAUAGGAGCUCCCGCUGCAUGGUGGGGGUUGGAACGUUUCGGCGGUCGGGGAUGGACUCGCGGCUUAUCAGCUUGUUGGUGGGGUAGUGGCUUACCCACGCUUUGACGGGUAGGCGGCCUGAGAGGGUGACCGGCCACAUUGGGACUGAGAGACGGCCCAGACUCCUACGGGAGGCAGCAGUGGGGAAUAUGGCACAAUGGGCGGAAGCCUGAUGCAGCAGCGCCGCGGGCGGGAUGACGGCCUUCUGGUUGUAAACCGCUUUCGCCUGUGACGAAGCGUGAGUGACGGUAAUGGGUAAAGAAGCACCGGCUAACUACGUG
Molecule: ribosomal RNA, 468 nt
Filed under: uncultured bacterium
Lineage: Bacteria
Description: partial 16S ribosomal RNA
Rfam family: Bacterial small subunit ribosomal RNA
Source: RNAcentral